AGAUUAGCUAGUUGGUGGGGUAAUGGCCUACCAAGGCCGCGAUCUGUAGCUGGUUUGAGAGGACGACCAGCCACACUGGGACUGAGACACGGCCCAGACUCCUACGGGAGGCAGCAGUGGGGAAUUUUGGACAAUGGGGGCAACCCUGAUCCAGCCAUCCCGCGUGUGCGAUGAAGGCCUUCGGGUUGUAAAGCACUUUUGGCAGGGAAGAAAAGGCGCAGGCUAAUACCCUGUGCUGCUGACGGUACCUGCAGAAUAAGCACCGGCUAACUACGUGCCAGCAGCCGCGGUAAUACGUAGGGUGCAAGCGUUAAUCGGAAUUACUGGGCGUAAAGCGUGCGUCGGCGGUUUGGCAAGAAAGGUGUGAAAUCCCAG
Molecule: ribosomal RNA, 375 nt
Filed under: uncultured bacterium
Lineage: Bacteria
Description: bacterial SSU rRNA
Rfam family: Bacterial small subunit ribosomal RNA
Source: RNAcentral